AGAGUUUGAUCCUGGCUCAGGACGAACGCUGGCGGCGUGCUUAACACAUGCAAGUCGAGCGGAAAGGCCCUUCGGGGUACUCGAGCGGCGAACGGGUGAGUAACACGUGAGUAACCUGCCCCGGACUUUGGGAUAACCUUCGGAAACGGAGGCUAAUACCGAAUAUCCACGCGCUAUCGCAUGGUGGUGUGUGGAAAGUUUUUCGGUCUGGGAUGGGCUCGCGGCCUAUCAGCUUGUUGGUGGGGUGAUGGCCUACCAAGGCGACGACGGGUAGCCGGCCUGAGAGGGCGACCGGCCACACUGGGACUGAGACACGGCCCAGACUCCUACGGGAGGCAGCAGUGGGGAAUAUUGCACAAUGGGCGGAAGCCUGAUGCAGCGACGCCGCGUGAGGGAUGACGGCCUUCGGGUUGUAAACCUCUUUCAGCAGGGACGACCGCAAGUGACGGUACCUGCAGAAGAAGCGCCGGCCAACUACGUGCCAGCAGCCGCGGUAAGACGUAGGGCGCGAGCGUUGUCCGGAUUUAUUGGGCGUAAAGAGCUCGUAGGCGGCUUGUCGCGUCGGCUGUGAAAACCCGUGGCUCAACUGCGGGCUUGCAGCCGAUACGGGCAGGCUAGAGUUCGGUAGGGGAGACUGGAAUUCCUGGUGUAGCGGUGAAAUGCGCAGAUAUCAGGAGGAACACCGGUGGCGAAGGCGGGUCUCUGGGCCGAUACUGACGCUGAGGAGCGAAAGCGUGGGGAGCGAACAGGAUUAGAUACCCUGGUAGUCCACGCUGUAAACGUUGGGCGCUAGGUGUGGGGGACCUCUCCGGUUCUCUGUGCCGCAGCUAACGCAUUAAGCGCCCCGCCUGGGGAGUACGGCCGCAAGGCUAAAACUCAAAGGAGUUGACGGGGGCCCGCACAAGCGGCGGAGCAUGCGGAUUAAUUCGAUGCAACGCGAAGAACCUUACCUGGGUUUGACAUCACCGCAAAACUUCCAGAGAUGGGAGGUCCUUCGGGGGCGGUGACAGGUGGUGCAUGGCUGUCGUCAGCUCGUGUCGUGAGAUGUUGGGUUAAGUCCCGCAACGAGCGCAACCCUCGUUCGAUGUUGCCAGCGGGUUAUGCCGGGGACUCAUCGAAGACUGCCGGGGUCAACUCGGAGGAAGGUGGGGAUGACGUCAAGUCAUCAUGCCCCUUAUGUCCAGGGCUUCACGCAUGCUACAAUGGCCGGUACAAUGGGCUGCGAUACCGCAAGGUAGAGCGAAUCCCAAAAAGCCGGUCUCAGUUCGGAUCGGGGUCUGCAACUCGACCCCGUGAAGUCGGAGUCGCUAGUAAUCGCAGAUCAGCAACGCUGCGGUGAAUACGUUCCCGGGCCUUGUACACACU
This 1365-nucleotide ribosomal RNA is filed under the name metagenome. RNAcentral's name for it is "bacterial SSU rRNA". It matches the Rfam family "Bacterial small subunit ribosomal RNA". The record is from RNAcentral.